GGGGAAGGUGGGGGUGGACACGAAUACCUGGACUCGGAGGAAGGCGUGGCUCCAGUUUGGGGAAGAAAUGGGGCGCGUCUCCCUGAAGCUUUGAUUCACUCAACAAUCAGACAGGGGUGAUGGAGCCACAAGUUAUCCACUACUAGCUAACCAACACGAGCUGGUGAAGCAGAAAAACUCCUCUGAGGGGAGACGGGCCUGUAGCCUCACGGAUGAUGGACUUAUCACCACCACCGAAAAGCUGCUGAAGUCAUCGUUUCUGGGUCCUGGGCAGUAUUUUUUGGUAUCAGUUACUCCCAGGGCGGCCUCGGCAGUACGCCAAGGUCUGGCACACCAGCCUCAUUCUGAGUUCAUAUCUGCUUCCUACACCCCUGGGUCCAUCCCUUCCCAUUGGCUGGUAUGGGGGGCUGGAUCACACCUGGUAUCACCCGAUCCUGCGAUCUGCUCCAGCAACCACAGCCUUUCCUGAAGCUGUAAACAUUCGUUGGCGCUGUGCCUUGUGGCAAAGGUACAAGAUGCUGGUCUCAACAACAAGCAUCCAAAGGAAAAAUCCAACCAAGAAAUGAGAAGGUGCAUCUGGGCCUGGCAGUGCCAACUCCACUGUGCUUUCCCACCCACACUGCUUGCCCAUGGAGGACUGUCUAUAAAAGAGCUGCAGCUCAGCGUGGAUGGGGUUUUCACUGAUAUUUUAAGGCAGGUUUUUACUGUAUAGUUCUAGCUGGAACUUGUGUAGACCUGGCCUCGAACUCACACAGCUCCACCUGCCUCUGCCUCCCAAGUGCUGUGAUUUAAAGAUGUGAGGCAGCGUGCCCAGUUAUUAAAUGUUUUAAAAAUU
Molecule: long non-coding RNA, 835 nt
Filed under: Rattus norvegicus (Norway rat)
Lineage: Eukaryota; Metazoa; Chordata; Mammalia; Rodentia; Muridae
Description: long non-coding RNA NONRATT026434
Source: RNAcentral